RNAcentral lists this ribosomal RNA (1372 nucleotides) under Vibrio sp. S3659. RNAcentral describes it as "bacterial SSU rRNA". It matches the Rfam family "Bacterial small subunit ribosomal RNA", at positions 32 to 1383 of the family's 1533-position model. The record is from RNAcentral. Lineage: Bacteria; Pseudomonadati; Pseudomonadota; Gammaproteobacteria; Vibrionales; Vibrionaceae.
AACGCUGGCGGCAGGCCUAACACAUGCAAGUCGAGCGGAAACGAGUUAACUGAACCUUCGGGGAAUGUUAACGGCGUCGAGCGGCGGACGGGUGAGUAAUGCCUAGGAAAUUGCCCUGAUGUGGGGGAUAACCAUUGGAAACGAUGGCUAAUACCGCAUAAUGCCUUCGGGCCAAAGAGGGGGACCUUCGGGCCUCUCGCGUCAGGAUAUGCCUAGGUGGGAUUAGCUAGUUGGUGAGGUAAGGGCUCACCAAGGCGACGAUCCCUAGCUGGUCUGAGAGGAUGAUCAGCCACACUGGAACUGAGACACGGUCCAGACUCCUACGGGAGGCAGCAGUGGGGAAUAUUGCACAAUGGGCGCAAGCCUGAUGCAGCCAUGCCGCGUGUAUGAAGAAGGCCUUCGGGUUGUAAAGUACUUUCAGCAGUGAGGAAGGUGGUGUAGUUAAUAACUGCAUCAUUUGACGUUAGCUGCAGAAGAAGCACCGGCUAACUCCGUGCCAGCAGCCGCGGUAAUACGGAGGGUGCGAGCGUUAAUCGGAAUUACUGGGCGUAAAGCGCAUGCAGGUGGUUUGUUAAGUCAGAUGUGAAAGCCCGGGGCUCAACCUCGGAAUUGCAUUUGAAACUGGCAGACUAGAGUACUGUAGAGGGGGGUAGAAUUUCAGGUGUAGCGGUGAAAUGCGUAGAGAUCUGAAGGAAUACCGGUGGCGAAGGCGGCCCCCUGGACAGAUACUGACACUCAGAUGCGAAAGCGUGGGGAGCAAACAGGAUUAGAUACCCUGGUAGUCCACGCCGUAAACGAUGUCUACUUGGAGGUUGUGGCCUUGAGCCGUGGCUUUCGGAGCUAACGCGUUAAGUAGACCGCCUGGGGAGUACGGUCGCAAGAUUAAAACUCAAAUGAAUUGACGGGGGCCCGCACAAGCGGUGGAGCAUGUGGUUUAAUUCGAUGCAACGCGAAGAACCUUACCUACUCUUGACAUCCAGAGAAGCCAGUAGAGAUACAGGUGUGCCUUCGGGAACUCUGAGACAGGUGCUGCAUGGCUGUCGUCAGCUCGUGUUGUGAAAUGUUGGGUUAAGUCCCGCAACGAGCGCAACCCUUAUCCUUGUUUGCCAGCGAGUAAUGUCGGGAACUCCAGGGAGACUGCCGGUGAUAAACCGGAGGAAGGUGGGGACGACGUCAAGUCAUCAUGGCCCUUACGAGUAGGGCUACACACGUGCUACAAUGGCGCAUACAGAGGGCAGCAAGCUAGCGAUAGUGAGCGAAUCCCAAAAAGUGCGUCGUAGUCCGGAUUGGAGUCUGCAACUCGACUCCAUGAAGUCGGAAUCGCUAGUAAUCGUGGAUCAGAAUGCCACGGUGAAUACGUUCCCGGGCCUUG